ACAAUAGAAAAUUCCGUGUCCAUGACAACCAGAAAACCCAAGGCAAUGACUGAUUUUAACCAUCUGGUUCUAACCUUGUUCUUUAAAUUCCUCUUUCCCCCAAGGGCUUACUGCUUUAUGUAAAGGGAAGACACAUGCUACACAUACAGGCAAGCAGGAAGAUAUCCAUGCUAUCUUCGGGAGGAAUGAGAUUAGUAUCUGUGUGUGAUAGAGAUGGGACAACUUCCUGCUAAAGAAACCGGAAAGUCUUCCUGCAGUCCUCACUUGAGCUCAGUCUUCAGGAUGGUGUGGCUUUUCCACUGAACCUUAAAACAUCAUUCCUUUGACUCUCUUCCUGCAGCAGACACUGGCCUUGGUAUUCCUUUCUCGUCACCUGGUCCACAGUGCAGACGAUUUUGCAUCAAGACCACUUAGAGUACAAGACAGAAUGAGAGGCAGUGUGAAGGGGCUGGGAAGAGGAGGGAGAGAGCACAGAAGAGCCCCCCAGGUGAAGAGGCAAAGCCCACAUGUCAAAUUCAUGGCAGAAAGCAGGAAGAGCAGAGGUCCCUCCUGGGAUUUAGAAGAAGCCGAGGUCCAAGGAGCUGCUGCUUCAAGCAGUUUGUCUCCUCAACUGGGAGCCAUUUGAUGUGACAGGAGACCAGGGGCCAGAGACUCUCCACAGAUGUUGGACAUCACCCAGGGAAAGAGAACGUUGGAGGAAGAGACCUAAGAAUUCCUUUGCAAAUUCUGUGGAACUGUUUGACUAUGAUUUACAUACUGUAAACCAGUAUGUAUAACUUUGAUUAAAAAUGAAAAGUCAAAUUAUAAGCAAAAUGACCUCUUAAUGUUUAUUAAGUUGGCUAGAAAGUGGAAUAAAACAUGUUUUUUACCUUUGUGAAGUUUGGAAUGUGAAAGAAAAAGUUAGAACAAAGCAAGAUACAAAUAUUCUACUAGAGGUAGAUUUCACUAUGGACUUGGAGGCACCAGUACAUUUUUUCUCUCUAGUACCCUGCAUAGCACCUGGCAGGCAGAGGUGUGUUAGUGACAGAUGAACAAAAGAAGGUAUAUUUGUGAGUGUGUUACACUGACAACAAGCAAAAAAAAACCCAGAACAUUUUACUAUGUUUACAUCAUGACAGGAAUCAAAUUCAGAAGCUAUCCCAGGAAAGGAAACAUUUAAAUGUGAAGCUGGAAGUAUAUCUAGAAUUUCUUCCAGUGGCUAAAGAUAUGGAGAAUAUUCAAAAGCAGGGAGAACAAAUUAUACGAAAAAUGAUGAGAGUAGAGUGGUAUCAACUGAUACUAUCCAUAGCAACAAUAUGCUGUGUAACAAACAACCCAGAGUUCAGAGGCAUAUAUACCAUAUCUUCUUUAUCUAUUUUUCAUCUAUUUAGAUAUCUAUGAACAUUUAGGUUGUUUCCAGCUCUGCGCUAUUGUAAAUAAUGCUGCAAUAAACAGGAU
Long non-coding RNA from Talpa occidentalis (Iberian mole), 1437 nucleotides. RefSeq lists it as uncharacterized. NCBI's taxonomy places the organism in Eukaryota, Metazoa, Chordata, Mammalia, Eulipotyphla, Talpidae. The transcript is spliced from 4 exons. The record is from RefSeq and is a predicted model, not a curated record.